CCUGAACGCUGGCGGCGUGGCUAAGACAUGCAAGUCGAACGGGCACCCGCAAGGGUGUCAGUGGCGGACGGGUGAGUAAUGUAUCGCUAACGUGCCCCGGAGCCUGGGAUAGCCGGCCGAAAGGCCGGGUAAUACCAGAUGAGACCACGGCCAGGCAUCUGGCAGUGCUCAAAGCCGCAAGGCGCUCCGGGAGCGGGCGAUAUCGUAUCAGGUAGUUGGCGGGGUAACGGCCCACCAAGCCGACGACGCGUAGCUGGUCUGAGAGGACGGCCAGCCACAUCGGGACUGAGACACUGCCCGGACUCCUACGGGGGCGUGCAGUAACGAAUCUUCCGCAAUGCACGAAAGUAGUGACGGAGCGACGCCGCGUGUGGGACGAAGUCC
RNAcentral lists this ribosomal RNA (384 nucleotides) under uncultured bacterium. Its description in RNAcentral is "bacterial SSU rRNA". It matches the Rfam family "Bacterial small subunit ribosomal RNA", at positions 30 to 416 of the family's 1533-position model. The record is from RNAcentral.